This 951-nucleotide ribosomal RNA is filed under the name Klebsiella pneumoniae. RNAcentral describes it as "bacterial SSU rRNA". It matches the Rfam family "Bacterial small subunit ribosomal RNA", at positions 581 to 1532 of the family's 1533-position model. Lineage: Bacteria; Pseudomonadati; Pseudomonadota; Gammaproteobacteria; Enterobacterales; Enterobacteriaceae. The record is from RNAcentral.
UGUCAAGUCGGAUGUGAAAUCCCCGGGCUCAACCUGGGAACUGCAUUCGAAACUGGCAGGCUAGAGUCUUGUAGAGGGGGGUAGAAUUCCAGGUGUAGCGGUGAAAUGCGUAGAGAUCUGGAGGAAUACCGGUGGCGAAGGCGGCCCCCUGGACAAAGACUGACGCUCAGGUGCGAAAGCGUGGGGAGCAAACAGGAUUAGAUACCCUGGUAGUCCACGCCGUAAACGAUGUCGAUUUGGAGGUUGUGCCCUUGAGGCGUGGCUUCCGGAGCUAACGCGUUAAAUCGACCGCCUGGGGAGUACGGCCGCAAGGUUAAAACUCAAAUGAAUUGACGGGGGCCCGCACAAGCGGUGGAGCAUGUGGUUUAAUUCGAUGCAACGCGAAGAACCUUACCUGGUCUUGACAUCCACAGAACUUUCCAGAGAUGGAUUGGUGCCUUCGGGAACUGUGAGACAGGUGCUGCAUGGCUGUCGUCAGCUCGUGUUGUGAAAUGUUGGGUUAAGUCCCGCAACGAGCGCAACCCUUAUCCUUUGUUGCCAGCGGUUCGGCCGGGAACUCAAAGGAGACUGCCAGUGAUAAACUGGAGGAAGGUGGGGAUGACGUCAAGUCAUCAUGGCCCUUACGACCAGGGCUACACACGUGCUACAAUGGCAUAUACAAAGAGAAGCGACCUCGCGAGAGCAAGCGGACCUCAUAAAGUAUGUCGUAGUCCGGAUUGGAGUCUGCAACUCGACUCCAUGAAGUCGGAAUCGCUAGUAAUCGUAGAUCAGAAUGCUACGGUGAAUACGUUCCCGGGCCUUGUACACACCGCCCGUCACACCAUGGGAGUGGGUUGCAAAAGAAGUAGGUAGCUUAACCUUCGGGAGGGCGCUUACCACUUUGUGAUUCAUGACUGGGGUGAAGUCGUAACAAGGUAACCGUAGGGGAACCUGCGGUUGGAUCACCUCCUU